ACAUUUCAAGACUAUAUAUAAUAAUACAUAGGCUAAAUUAAUGAGCUAUACCAUGCAAAUGAUCCCACUAUUAAAGUGGGCUGUUCUUGGAUUCCACCACUUGUUGACGGUGUUUCUCUCAAAGCAGAGCUUUUAUUAUUCAUGGGGUUGUUAUCUUUCUUGGUUUUGCACUCCUGGCAGCAGGCUCAGAAAAGCACAUGAGUCGUUGUCAUUCCGCGCAACAUUUGCGGACGGGUGGAUCGAAUCCAGUGAAACUUGUACUUGUUGCGAGCCAUACGGCGGCGGCAGCGUCCCGGAGCUGUCAGAAAUUGCGCACAGCCUUCAGUCUUCAGUCAGUGGAGUUACCAGACUAAUCCAUCAAACAACUCGGAAGAUUAACCUUUUUUAGCCUCGCGAAAGUAGGUAUUAGUCUCCACACCCGGAAGCUUGUUUUAAAUUUCACGAUGAUUUUCGUCACAUGGCUUUGGAGAAUUCAAUAACAACAAAAAAUGGCGACAAUCACGUUGUGUAGUCUUGCUGCGUCAUUAAAAAUAGUCAUGUAAACACGGGACAUUAAACGGGAAAUUUGCAGUGCCCUGAGCAGCGGGACUAAUGGAGUUGUUUACAUGAAGUGCGGAGGGCGGAUGACGAGGAGGAGGAGCCGCUACGUCGGGCAGAGACGCCACCGGACUGCUCCAGAGGCUGCCUUCACCGAGGGGGGCGGAGCCCGCGAGGAGAAUCAUAACAAGUCUGACGUCACUCGGCCUUGUGGUUGGUAUGAAUAAUAUACAGUAGUUUGUCUCGACCAAGUCCUAGCAGGAAGGAGGUUUGGAAAAAACAAAGUCUUUCUACCUGUAAUUGUUUUAUAAGAUGCAACAUUUACGAGCCCUAUGUGCACCAGCAGAAUGGAAACUAAUGGAAAAUAAUAUAAAAAAAAACUUUAAUAUGGAAAGAGAAAAAUAACUAACCAUGUUAAAAUAUCCUACGUAGGACUUUGAAGCAAGCUUCCUCCUCCCAUUUCCAAGAAUUGUGCAAUGUUGUUUUUAAUCACAGAUUCACAGCCAGUAGGUAGAGUUCAAAUUUCAUGUGCAGGGUUGUGCAUUAUUAACUGUCAUUAGAGUUAGGGUUACCUUCCCAGGUAGACGUUUCAUCAUAUAAUGGACAACAGAGUCUGUCGUUUGCAGUACAGAAUCAAUAACUGUACCACUUUUGGUACAAACCUACCUUAUCUCAAAGGCCUAAAUAAAUAAAUUACAUACAAUGACAUUGUCCUGAUUAAUGUGCAUAUGUGAGCUUACUCAUUUAACUUUUAAGACUUUGUGAUCCAAACUUUUCUGACAAUUGUUCAUUGACAAUUUAUUUAUGUUCCCACAAUCAGACUAUGUUAUAUAGUUUAUGUUUUGUCUUUUUCACUCUGACUUUAUGAAUUAGUUUUUUUAAUGGUAUUAUAUCUCCCCAAAAUGUUAUUGGAUCUUUAAGGGUUAAAUCCCAUGGUUAGAGGGCAAAGUAUUUCCUGCUGGUGAUUAGUUGGAAGGAUAUUUAAAAAACUAAUGUAUCAGAUUGUUAAAUAACAUGCCUAAUAUUACUCUGUAGAUUAAUCUGUUAUUGUAUUAGCUACUGUGUGUUAUUUGAAAAGUAUUUAUACAUUAUGCAAACAAACGAAAUGCUGGAGAUACAACUAGCAUAUGUUUUGAAUGAGAUACCAUCAAAUGUGCUGCAAAAAAUGCAAAAGGAAAACAUUAUUAUCUUUGUAUCUGUUGACCUGGAGCACACAUUAUGGUUGGAUGACGAAUGGAGCAAAGCCGCGGACUGCUAGAUUUGUCAGGCUGCCCUGGUUCAGUUAUCACGGUGCUGAUGCUGUCCCCAUCGAAGGUACAGUACUGUGAUAACUGAAGGAUGGCUGCCAACUUGACCCAAGUGCAGUGAAUCAAAGCAUGUUCGGCUAACGAGCCAGAGGACCAAAGAGAAGGUGGACAAGUGUGAGUAUGUAAACAAAAAAUAUUGUGGUACAUUGCUUUAAAAACCUUAAUGUGAUAUCCAGAAGUCCAUGUGUUUUUAUUUACAAAGUAGUUUUCCCUUGUUGAACAAUCUUUUAGGCCUUUUUUGUACGUUGAAGUAUAAGAAACUCAAAACCUGUAAGUUAGUAUUAUCUUCACUAAUUAUGUAACUUCUGCUUAACUAUAAGAAAUAAAGUGAAUUUCUUUAAUUCAAA
This is a long non-coding RNA of Sander lucioperca (pikeperch), 2191 nucleotides long. RefSeq lists it as uncharacterized. Lineage: Eukaryota; Metazoa; Chordata; Actinopteri; Perciformes; Percidae. The record is from RefSeq and is a predicted model, not a curated record. The transcript has 2 exons.